RNAcentral lists this ribosomal RNA (253 nucleotides) under uncultured bacterium. RNAcentral describes it as "partial 16S ribosomal RNA". It matches the Rfam family "Bacterial small subunit ribosomal RNA", at positions 524 to 776 of the family's 1533-position model. The record is from RNAcentral.
UACGAAGGGGGCUAGCGUUGUUCGGAAUCACUGGGCGUAAAGGGCGCGUAGGCGGCCCGAUCAGUCGGGGGUGAAAGCCUGUGGCUCAACCACAGAAUGGCCUUCGAUACUGUCGGGCUUGAGUCCGGAAGAGGUAAGUGGAACUGCGAGUGUAGAGGUGAAAUUCGUAGAUAUUCGCAAGAACACCAGUGGCGAAGGCGGCUUACUGGUCCGGAUCUGACGCUGAGGCGCGAAAGCGUGGGGAGCAAACAGG